GACGAACGCUGGCGGCGUGCUUAACACAUGCAAGUCGAACGGUAAGGCCCUUCGGGGUACACGAGUGGCGAACGGGUGAGUAACACGUGGGUGAUCUGCCCUGCACUUCGGGAUAAGCCUGGGAAACUGGGUCUAAUACCGGAUAGGACCACUGCGUGCAUGGGUGGUGGUGGAAAGCUUUUGCGGUGUGGGAUGGGCCCGCGGCCUAUCAGCUUGUUGGUGGGGUGAUGGCCUACCAAGGCGACGACGGGUAGCCGGCCUGAGAGGGUGACCGGCCACACUGGGACUGGGAUACGGCCCAGACUCCUACGGGAGGCAGCAGUGGGGAAUAUUGCACAAUGGGCGCAAGCCUGAUGCAGCGACGCCGCGUGAGGGAUGACGGCCUUCGGGUUGUAAACCUCUUUCAGCACCGACGAAGCGCAAGUGACGGUAGGUGCAGAAGAAGGACCGGCCAACUACGUGCCAGCCGCCGCAGUAA
RNAcentral lists this ribosomal RNA (478 nucleotides) under uncultured bacterium. Its description in RNAcentral is "partial 16S ribosomal RNA". It matches the Rfam family "Bacterial small subunit ribosomal RNA", at positions 28 to 523 of the family's 1533-position model. The record is from RNAcentral.